This is a non-coding RNA of Spinacia oleracea (spinach), 93 nucleotides long. The record is from Rfam. NCBI's taxonomy places the organism in Eukaryota, Viridiplantae, Streptophyta, Magnoliopsida, Caryophyllales, Amaranthaceae.
CGGCGAAGGUCCCAGCAGGGAGGUGAGGAACUCUAUAAUUGAGACCUCUCUAACACAAUGUUUAACCUUCGCAUAUGAAUUGCUGAAAUAUUA